This 492-nucleotide ribosomal RNA is filed under the name uncultured bacterium. Its description in RNAcentral is "partial 16S ribosomal RNA". It matches the Rfam family "Bacterial small subunit ribosomal RNA", at positions 29 to 507 of the family's 1533-position model. The record is from RNAcentral.
AGUGAACGCUGGCGGUAGGCCUAACACAUGCAAGUCGAACGGCAGCACAGUAAGAGCUUGCUCUUACGGGUGGCGAGUGGCGGACGGGUGAGGAAUACAUCGGAAUCUACUUUUUCGUGGGGGAUAACGUAGGGAAACUUACGCUAAUACCGCAUACGACCUACGGGUGAAAGCAGGGGAUCUUCGGACCUUGCGCGAUUGAAUGAGCCGAUGUCGGAUUAGCUAGUUGGCGGGGUAAAGGCCCACCAAGGCGACGAUCCGUAGCUGGUCUGAGAGGAUGAUCAGCCACACUGGAACUGAGACACGGUCCAGACUCCUACGGGAGGCAGCAGUGGGGAAUAUUGGACAAUGGGCGCAAGCCUGAUCCAGCCAUGCCGCGUGGGUGAAGAAGGCCUUCGUGUUGUAAAGCCCUUUUGUUGGGAAAGAAAAGCAGCAGGUUAAUACCCCGCUGUUCUGACGGUACCCAAAGAAUAAGCACCGGCUAACUUCGUG